This 696-nucleotide ribosomal RNA is filed under the name uncultured bacterium. Its description in RNAcentral is "bacterial SSU rRNA". It matches the Rfam family "Bacterial small subunit ribosomal RNA", at positions 32 to 715 of the family's 1533-position model. The record is from RNAcentral.
AACGCUAGCUACAGGCUUAACACAUGCAAGUCGAGGGGCAGCAUGGUCUUAGCUUGNUAAGGCUGAUGGCGACCGGCGCACGGGUGAGUAACACGUAUCCAACCUGCCGUCUACUCUUGGCCAGCCUUCUGAAAGGAAGAUUAAUCCAGGAUGGGAUCAUGAGUUCACAUGUCCGCAUGAUUAAAGGUAUUUUCCGGUAGACGAUGGGGAUGCGUUCCAUUAGAUAGUAGGCGGGGUAACGGCCCACCUAGUCAACGAUGGAUAGGGGUUCUGAGAGGAAGGUCCCCCACAUUGGAACUGAGACACGGUCCAAACUCCUACGGGAGGCAGCAGUGAGGAAUAUUGGUCAAUGGACGAGAGUCUGAACCAGCCAAGUAGCGUGAAGGAUGACUGCCCUAUGGGUUGUAAACUUCUUUUAUAUGGGAAUAUAGUGGGCCACGUGUGGCUUUUUGUAUGUACCAUACGAAUAAGGAUCGGCUAACUCCGUGCCAGCAGCCGCGGUAAUACGGAGGAUCCGAGCGUUAUCCGGAUUUAUUGGGUUUAAAGGGAGCGUAGGCGGAUUAUUAAGUCAGUUGUGAAAGUUUGCGGCUCAACCGUAAAAUUGCAGUUGAUACUGGUAGUCUUGAGUGCAGCAGAGGUAGGCGGAAUUCGUGGUGUAGCGGUGAAAUGCUUAGAUAUCACGAAGAACUCCGAUUG